Molecule: ribosomal RNA, 253 nt
Filed under: uncultured bacterium
Lineage: Bacteria
Description: partial 16S ribosomal RNA
Rfam family: Bacterial small subunit ribosomal RNA
Source: RNAcentral
UACGUAGGGUGCAGGCGUUAAUCGGCAUUACUGGGCGUAAAGCGUGCGCAGGCGGUUUCUUAAGUCAGAUGUGAAAGCCCCGGGCUUAACCUGGGAAUGGCAUUUUGAACUGGCAAUCUAGAGUGUGUCAGAGGGGGGUAGAAUUCCACGUGUAGCAGUGAAAUGCGUAGAGAUGUGGAGGAAUACCGAUGGCGAAGGCAGCCCCCUGGGAUAUCACUGACGCUCAUGUACGAAAGCGUGGGUAGCAAACAGG